Molecule: long non-coding RNA, 264 nt
Filed under: Nicotiana benthamiana
Lineage: Eukaryota; Viridiplantae; Streptophyta; Magnoliopsida; Solanales; Solanaceae
Description: long non-coding RNA (NBEN_LNC011018)
Source: RNAcentral
GGUCAGGGACAUAGCCAUGUAUUACGAGAUUAGGCCGAUCAGAGAAUGCCAAUUAUUAAUUAAUAAUAAAAGAGGUAUCGAAUCUUUGCUUUAACAACUUUCAAAGUUGCACUAGCAUUAGCAGGAGGAGGAGCACUAGUAGAAAGAACCUCUCUCAGAUGUCCAUAAAGAUGUUAUCCAAGUUAUUCAAAAGGAAGUCGAUAAAGAUUCAUCCCCUGCUCUUAGUGCUAGCUCUUUAUGCCUGGCACUGAAGAAGAAAGAUCG